CCUACGGGAGGCAGCAGUGGGGAAUAUUGGACAAUGGGCGCAAGCCUGAUCCAGCAAUGCCGCGUGAGUGAUGAAGGCCUUAGGGUUGUAAAGCUCUUUCACCGGGGAAGAUAAUGACGGUACCCGGAGAAGAAGCCCCGGCUAACUCCGUGCCAGCAGCCGCGGUAAUACGGAGGGGGCUAGCGUUGUUCGGAAUUACUGGGCGUAAAGCGCGCGUAGGCGGCUUGACAAGUUGGAGGUGAAAGCCCGGAGCUCAACUUCGGAAUUGCCUUCAAGACUGUCUCGCUCGAGGCAGGGAGAGGAGAGCGGAAUACCCAGUGUAGAGGUGAAAUUCGUAGAUAUUGGGUGGAACACCGGUGGCGAAGGCGGCUCUCUGGCCCUGAUCUGACGCUAAGGCGCGAAAGCGUGGGGAGCAAACAGGAUUAGAUACCCUGGUAGUCCACGCCGUAAACUAUGAGUGCUAGAUGUUGGGAGGUUUACUUCUCAGUGUCGCAGCUAACGCAUUAAGCACUCCGCCUGGGGAGUACGGCCGCAAGGUUAAAACUCAAAUGAAUUGACG
RNAcentral lists this ribosomal RNA (559 nucleotides) under uncultured bacterium. Its description in RNAcentral is "bacterial SSU rRNA". It matches the Rfam family "Bacterial small subunit ribosomal RNA", at positions 338 to 915 of the family's 1533-position model. The record is from RNAcentral.